CAACAGCCCCUCCGGGGGAUGCAGGGGGAGAUGCGGCCGGGGAUGCGGGAGGAGGCGACGGCGCGGGGUGUGUGUGUGUGUGUCCCCCCCCGGGGCGGAGGAGAUAAGGAGAUUUAACUAGCAGAUUCCCCAGGCUGAACCCCUCCGCCGGGCUGAAUUUAGCAGCAGAAGAGAUAACCGGGAGAUAAGGACUGAUACCCGGGGAGGAGAGCAGGAGACCGGGAGGCGGCGGAGGGAAGGGGGAGAAGCCGGAGGCAGCGUUGGGAAGGGCUGCAAAUCCAGAUGUGCAGGGUUUUGGACACGCAUCUCCCUUUCCACGCCUUGCAAGAUCCCGUGUGAUUUUCUCUAGCGAAGCAGCGUUUUGCUGAAGCUUCGUUGAAUUCCGACUGAAUAUCAGAUAUCAGCGCUUUCUUUAAAAAAAAAAUAAUAAUAAAACCGAGGAAAAAUCCAGUUAAAACCGAUGAAAACUGCCCGAGCAGCUGUACCAGGAGCACAGACGAUUUCAAGGACCUGCCUUGGCUUUGGCUUUUCUGUGAAGAAAACACACAAAAAAAUUAAUUCCCGUGGUGGGUUUUGCGUGUGUGCAGUCGGAUCCAGCUUCUUUCAGCGGGGAAAUAUCAGUCCUUAGCGCCCAGCAUCCCGAAAAAAUCAGUGCCGUGAGGCGCUGAGCCCAACCCGGUGCAAACUAACAGCCGGGAGGGAGAGGGAUGGAUUUCAGUGACUUUUUAUCCCGAAAAAAAAAAAAAAAAAAAAAAAAGCAGCAGAAGAUGGGACACAGCAGAGCGCAGCGAAAAAAAUCUCUGCUCCGCACUCGAAGGAGCUUUUUUUUCCCCCCCCUGGAAUUUGCUCGCCCGCAAAGCGAAGAAUUUAACGAAAUCUGGCUGAAAAUAACCCUGCGGAACAAAUCUCGGCCUUUCCGCUCUCUUUUCCAGCCCCCUCUUGUCCCCCAGGGAGGAAAGAAACCCGUAAAAUGCCGGGAUUUUAUUUUCUUUUGCCCGCAUCGAAGUUAAUUCCGCGGCGGUUUUAGAGUUAAAAAGUUCCGCGGCUGUUGAUAGAUGCCCCCGCGAGUGGCAGUGAACAAAAAAACUAUUAAAAAAGAAAAAAAAAAAAAACACAA
Molecule: long non-coding RNA, 1117 nt
Organism: Chroicocephalus ridibundus (black-headed gull)
Lineage: Eukaryota; Metazoa; Chordata; Aves; Charadriiformes; Laridae
Exons: 3
Source: RefSeq, a predicted model, not a curated record